CAGCAGCCGCGGGAAUACGAAGGGGGCUAGCGUUGUUCGGAUUUACUGGGCGUAAAGCGCACGUAGGCGGACUUUUAAGUCAGGGGUAAAAUCCCGGGGCUCAACCCCGGAACUGCCUUUGAUACUGGAAGUCUUGAGUAUGGUAGAGGUGAGUGGAAUUCCGAGUGUAGAGGUGAAAUUCGUAGAUAUUCGGAGGAACACCAGUGGCGAAGGCGGCUCACUGGACCAUUACUGACGCUGAGGUGCGAAAGCGUGGGGAGCAAACAGGAUUAGAUACCCCCGUAGUCCCUGUCUCUUAUAC
Molecule: ribosomal RNA, 301 nt
Filed under: uncultured bacterium
Lineage: Bacteria
Description: partial 16S ribosomal RNA
Rfam family: Bacterial small subunit ribosomal RNA
Source: RNAcentral